Molecule: ribosomal RNA, 253 nt
Filed under: uncultured bacterium
Lineage: Bacteria
Description: partial 16S ribosomal RNA
Rfam family: Bacterial small subunit ribosomal RNA
Source: RNAcentral
UACGUAGGGUCCGAGCGUCGUCCGGAAUUAUUGGGCGUAAAGGGCUCGUAGGUGGUUUGUCGCGUCGGGAGUGAAAUCUUACGGCUUAACUGUGAGUGGGCUUUCGAUACGGGCAGGCUAGAGGGAUGCAGGGGAGAAUGGAAUUCCUGGUGUAGCGGUGGAAUGCGCAGAUAUCAGGAGGAACACCGGUGGCGAAGGCGGUUCUCUGGGCAUUUCCUGACGCUGAGGAGCGAAAGCAUGGGGAGCGAACAGG